RNAcentral lists this ribosomal RNA (492 nucleotides) under uncultured bacterium. RNAcentral's name for it is "partial 16S ribosomal RNA". It matches the Rfam family "Bacterial small subunit ribosomal RNA", at positions 29 to 507 of the family's 1533-position model. The record is from RNAcentral.
AGUGAACGCUGGCGGUAUGCCUAACACAUGCAAGUCGAACGGCAGCACAGUAAGAGCUUGCUCUUACGGGUGGCGAGUGGCGGACGUGUGAGGAAUACAUCGGAAUCUACUUUUUCGUGGGGGAUAACGUAGGGAAACUUACGCUAAUACCUCAUACGACCUACGGGUGAAAGCAGGGGAUCUUCGGACCUUGCGCGAUUGAAUGAGCCGAUGUCGGAUUAGCUAGUUGGCGGGGUAAAGGCCCACCAAGGCGACGAUCCGUAGCUGGUCUGAGAGGAUGAUCAGCCACACUGGAACUGAGACACGGUCCAGACGCCUAAGGGAGGCAGCAGUGGGGAAUAUUGGACAAUGGGCGCAAGCCUGAUCCAGCCAUACCGAGUGGGUGAAGAAGGCCUUCGGGUUGUAAAGCCCUUUUGUUGGGAAAGAAAAGCAGCAGGUUAAUACCCCGCUGUUCUGACGGUACCCAAAGAAUAAGCACCGGCUAACUUCGUG